This 494-nucleotide ribosomal RNA is filed under the name uncultured bacterium. RNAcentral's name for it is "bacterial SSU rRNA". It matches the Rfam family "Bacterial small subunit ribosomal RNA", at positions 34 to 507 of the family's 1533-position model. The record is from RNAcentral.
CGCUGGCGGCGUGCCUAAUACAUGCAAGUCGAGCGGAAUGAUGAAGAAGCUUGCUUCUUCUGAUUUUAGCGGCGGACGGGUGAGUAACACGUGGGCAACCUACCUUGUAGAUUGGGAUAACUCCGGGAAACCGGGGCUAAUACCGAAUAAUCCAUUUUGCUUCAUGGCGAGAUGUUGAAAGACGGUUUCGGCUGUCACUAUAAGAUGGGCCCGCGGCGCAUUAGCUAGUUGGUAGGGUAAUGGCCUACCAAGGCGACGAUGCGUAGCCGACCUGAGAGGGUGAUCGGCCACACUGGGACUGAGACACGGCCCAGACUCCUACGGGAGGCAGCAGUGGGGAAUCUUCCACAAUGGACGAAAGUCUGAUGGAGCAACGCCGCGUGAGUGAAGAAGGUUUUCGGAUCGUAAAACUCUGUUGUAAGGGAAGAACACGUACGAGAGUAACUGCUCGUACCUUGACGGUACCUUAUUAGAAAGCCACGGCUAACUACGUG